Long non-coding RNA from Xenopus laevis (African clawed frog), 601 nucleotides. RefSeq lists it as uncharacterized. The record is from RefSeq and is a predicted model, not a curated record. The transcript is spliced from 4 exons. NCBI's taxonomy places the organism in Eukaryota, Metazoa, Chordata, Amphibia, Anura, Pipidae.
GUGAUUCAAAACUGUUAAACGUUAAUUUCAAAAUGGCAAAUCUCCUUGUGGUCCUGUUUAUCCUUUCACUUCAGAUUGCAGGAUUCCUGUGUCAAAGUGCAAGUGCAACAGCUACAGUUCCAGGAUGGGCUAUUGCCCUAUUAGUGCUGGUGGGAACCACACUUAUUCUAGUGUUGGUGGGCUGUGGUUGUGUGGUUGUCUUCCGAAAGAGAUAACAGGCAGUUUGGUGAUAUUCCCCACAUGCUGAAAAGAACAGAAGUUUAACUUGGAGAAAUGAAAUCCUUUGGCUUUUUCAUUAUGAUUAAAACCAUCAAGUGCUGUUUUUUUUGGUGUCAGUGAAGAGCUACUUCCCAGCCUUACUCAGAUAAGAACUAAGAGACUCUUAGUCAGUCAACUUCAUACUCCUCAUAAGAGAAAAACUCAUUUUCAGUUUAUUUACAAUUUCACAAAUUUUUACUGACAAGUGCAUACUUGUGAUUUAAUUCAUGUGUAAACCCCAAUGCUUAUUAUGUUUACCUGUAAAAAGAAUAAUACCGUUGUUGAGUAUAUAUAUAUAUAUAUAUAUAUAUAUAUAUAUAUAUAUAUAUAUACACAUUGAUUA